UUGUUGGAGAGUUUGAUCCUGGCUCAGGACGAACGCUGGCGGCGUGCUUAACACAUGCAAGUCGAACG
This 68-nucleotide ribosomal RNA is filed under the name Amycolatopsis japonica. RNAcentral describes it as "partial 16S ribosomal RNA". It matches the Rfam family "Bacterial small subunit ribosomal RNA", at positions 1 to 68 of the family's 1533-position model. Lineage: Bacteria; Bacillati; Actinomycetota; Actinomycetes; Pseudonocardiales; Pseudonocardiaceae. RNAcentral also lists the same sequence under 1 other name. The record is from RNAcentral.